GCCUGGUUGGCUCAGUUGGUACAGCACGUGACUCAUAAUCUCAGGGUUGUGAGUUCAAGCCCCACACUGGACA
This is a non-coding RNA of Neomonachus schauinslandi (Hawaiian monk seal), 73 nucleotides long. NCBI's taxonomy places the organism in Eukaryota, Metazoa, Chordata, Mammalia, Carnivora, Phocidae. The record is from the annotation of a RefSeq genome assembly.